This 279-nucleotide ribosomal RNA is filed under the name uncultured bacterium. Its description in RNAcentral is "partial 16S ribosomal RNA". It matches the Rfam family "Bacterial small subunit ribosomal RNA", at positions 506 to 784 of the family's 1533-position model. The record is from RNAcentral.
UGCCAGCCGCCGCGGUAAUACUUAAGGUGCAAGCGUUAAUCGGAAUCACUGGGCGUAAAGCGCUCGUAGGUGGCUUUGUAAGUCAGAUGUGAAAUCCCACGGCUCAACCGUGGAAUUGCAUUUGAUACUGCAUCGCUAGAGUAUAGGAGAGGGAAGUGGAAUUUCUGUUGUAGGAGUGAACUCCGUAGAGAUCAAAAGGAACACCGGUGGCGAAGGCGACUUCCUGGACUAUUACUUACACUGAGGAGCCGAAGCUUGGUUAGCAAACAGGAUUAGAUC